GUGAUGUAGCUCAGCGUGGUAGAGCACUCGGCUCGGGACCGAGCGGACGCUGGUUCGACCCCAGUCAUCAC
Molecule: transfer RNA, 71 nt
Filed under: Pseudo-nitzschia fraudulenta
Lineage: Eukaryota; Bacillariophyta; Bacillariophyceae; Bacillariales; Bacillariaceae
Rfam family: tRNA
About the family: Transfer RNA (tRNA) molecules are approximately 80 nucleotides in length. Their secondary structure includes four short double-helical elements and three loops (D, anti-codon, and T loops). Further hydrogen bonds mediate the characteristic L-shaped molecular structure. tRNAs have two regions of fundamental functional importance: the anti-codon, which is responsible for specific mRNA codon recognition, and the 3' end, to which the tRNAs corresponding amino acid is attached (by aminoacyl-tRNA synthetases). tRNAs cope with the degeneracy of the genetic code in two manners: having more than one tRNA (with a specific anti-codon) for a particular amino acid; and 'wobble' base-pairing, i.e. permitting non-standard base-pairing at the 3rd anti-codon position.
Source: RNAcentral